UUGCCCACUUCUUUUCCACAUUGG
RNAcentral lists this non-coding RNA (24 nucleotides) under Rattus norvegicus (Norway rat). Lineage: Eukaryota; Metazoa; Chordata; Mammalia; Rodentia; Muridae. The record is from RNAcentral.